RNAcentral lists this ribosomal RNA (400 nucleotides) under phytoplankton environmental sample. RNAcentral describes it as "partial small subunit ribosomal RNA". It matches the Rfam family "Eukaryotic small subunit ribosomal RNA", at positions 587 to 967 of the family's 1831-position model. The record is from RNAcentral.
AGCUCCAAUAGCGUAUAUUAAAGUUGCUGCAGUUAAAAAGCUCGUAAUUAAAUUUGUGGCGCGGUCGUCCGGCGGGGCUUCCGGUUUCAUAGUAUCCCGGGGCCGUUUGUCUAAAUUCUUGGCCGCCCCAUUCUUCGGUUGCGUGUCGCUGGCAUUAGGUUGUCGGCUUCUUCGCGCCGAUCGUUUACUGUGAAAAAAUUAGAGUGUUCAAAGCAGGCUUAGGCCGUUGGAUACAUUAGCAUGGAAUAAUGAGAUAGGGCCACGGCGGUCUAUUUUGUUGGUUUGCACGUUGUGGUAAUGAUUAACAGGAACGGUUGGGGGUAUUCGUAUUCAAUUGUCAGAGGUGAAAUUCUUGGAUUUAUGGAAGACGAACUACUGCGAAAGCAUUUACCAAGGAUGU